CUGGAGUCUGUACAAGGGGGAACAGUCCCAUCAAGUUUGGGAACCAGAAGGACCAGGCUGGCCUCGUUGGGCUGCUGUCCUCUAGCCUCUCCCAAAUGAUGGCCUUGGGAUCUCUUUGUUGCCUAGUGUGGACACAGCCCUCAUAGGAUGCUCUUACCAUUAGCACAGACACACCAUUCCACCUGCAGGUGGCUCAGGUGGAUUUUUCUAGGCUUUUCUGAGAAGAACGCAAGGAAGUUUUUCUAGAAGGACAGCUCUCUGGUGGAGACAAAGUGUCUGCAAGGCAGUGAGGGGAGCGCAAACAUACAUGAGAGUUUUCAGUCCAGUGAUGGAGAAAAACCAACUUGGUAAGCAGAAGUUUGAGUAGUCCCAACUCCCUACGGUCUGAAUACGAAGCUCUGGGCAGGAUGUGAUACAUGCAUAAAAAUGAGGUGAGAAAACUCCCUUGUGAAAGGUGCCCUCCCUGUAUCAGGAGGAAGGGAAGAUAUUCUUAUCAUCAGAGACAGAGAGCUGGGAGCCAAGAAAUCUGUACCAACAAGCUACUUAAACUAACCCUUCUCUUCCUGGUUGCUUCUUCACCGCUUAUGACACCUAGUCCGUCAUUUACUAUACUCCCUUGAUCCAUUUUGUCUCCCAUUCUUCCAGACACCUAUUCAAACUCUCCUCUCCACCUAUGUUCAACUUCCCUUCCCCCGUCUCCACCCUCAGCAGAGAACUUUGCUAAUUCUCUGAGAAAGGGAAAAGCAUCAAAAGACAGCCUCCACAAGCCCCCAUUACCAGCUACAGAAAUUAACUCGAAAUGGAUCAUAGACCUAAAUGAAUAUGCUGAAGCCAUAAAAUCUUUAGAAGAAAACAUAGCAGUAAAUCUUUGUGAUCUUGGGUUAAGAAAAAGUUUCCUAGAUAUGACACCAAAAUCACAAAUAACAGAAGAAAAAUAAAUUGGAGAAGUAAAAAUAAAAAUAACCUCUGUGCUUCAAAGGAUGUCAUUAGAAAAUGGAAAGACAACCCACAGAACAACAGAAAAUAUUUGCAAAACAUACUCGAUAGGGAACUUGUGUCUAGAAUUUAUAAAGGGCUCUUCUGAACUCAAUGAUAAAAAGACAACCGUGGGCAAUGGAUCUGAGUAGACAUCCUCCGAAGGAGAUAUACAGAAGGCCAAUGAGCAUAUUCAAAGGCAUUCAGUAUCACUAGUCAUUAAAGAAAUACAAAAAAAAAAAAA
Neofelis nebulosa (Clouded leopard) is the source of this 1219-nucleotide long non-coding RNA. RefSeq lists it as uncharacterized. Lineage: Eukaryota; Metazoa; Chordata; Mammalia; Carnivora; Felidae. The transcript has 3 exons. The record is from RefSeq and is a predicted model, not a curated record.